UUCGGUGUUUGUCCAAGAUGUUUUUGUGUGGGAGUCUUAAGCCACGUGUUAUUUUCUGAUAGGGUGUUAUUUUUAUUUUUCGAAAAGAUUUUUGUUUUUGGCCAGUGAAAGAAAAGCAAAAUCCCCAAAUGUUUCUCUCGAACCCUAGCUGUGCGAUUCGACGAGAGAACAAGCUUUUCGUCUUCUCCGGCUCAUCCACUGUCUUUUCCGUCUCCUCCGAGUCCUCGUCACCGUGUUGUCGAUCUCCUCCAUCUCCUCCUCACCAUCUCGUCCGUUCUGUCUCUCAAUCUUCAGAUCGAUAUAACUCAGAUGAGAAAGCUUCUACAAAAUCAGCUCCCAGGUUCCAAGAAGGCUUGUUAAAAAAAGGUGUUUAAGUGCCAGAGCGGAAGUUAAAAGGCCUAGUAUAUGUGAAUGAGCAAUUUGAUGGAUGGAAAGCUCACUGCCUCAUGAUCCUGCAAAGGAAAUUUAACCAACAAACCUGUUGUUUUGCCCCUGAUGAAGAGAUACUAGCAGAAAUAACAGAAAUAUUGCUGAAGGAGGGAAUAGUAACAAGCAAGACAGAUGCUAAGAAGCUCUGCAUGCCUUUCGUUAAAUUCAAGAAGGAUGAGACAAUAUCUAUUGGCACUUAGGCUUUAAAUUUGAGGUUGCCGUUUGGAGAGAUUGAUGUCCUUCAGAGUAACAUGGACUUGAUCAAUUGAUCAAGCGGCAACUUGGUCUUGAAGAGGUUGAAGUAUAUUCUGCAGGUGACCCUGAUAAUGUUUCAAAAGCUGGUCCACAUGCUUCAGUGCUGGAGCAGAUUCGUCCUCCAUCUCCGGGCAAUCCUACCGCCAUCUUUGUGACCAGCACAAGUGUCUCCCCUCCAGUUUAAAAGUGUUGUGCCCAUAGAAUCAUCUCUCUCUGCAUAUCUUCAUGUAAGUAAGAUCUCUUUCUAUUUGACAUUCAUCUCUAUUGUUUUCUAUAUGCAGUUUCUGGGUCUUUUUUUGUUGGAUGUUAUAGCUAAUCUGGGUACUCAAUGUGAGCUCAUUGUGAACAAGAUGUAGAUCAUGUCAGUGACUAUGGCUGUUCUCUCUCCCUGCCACUAGCUGCAUCCAAAAGUGCUUGGUUCUGUGUGCAGCGACUAUGGAUGUUGUUGUUCUUGCCGUGAUUUUGUUGGCCAUGGCUGGCCACUCAAGUGGAACAUGGUGUGAAUGCAGAGAAGGGUUGAGCGAGGCAAUGCUGCAGAAGACAUUGGACUACGCAUGUGGUGCAGGAGCUGAUUGUGUACCCAUUCACCAGAACGGACCUUGCUUCAAUCCUAACACAGUUAGGUGUCCUUCUGUUUCAUCUCAACACUCUUAGCUCUCUAUAUAUACACAAACAAAAGCUUAAAUCAAACCAGCAUGUAAAGAAGCUCAACAAACUUCCUCCAUGUGAUUGGAUGAUAGUAGUAGACAGUUUUGCAACUUAAGCAGUGAUAUGUUUCUUAUUUGUGAUGGACUUCAAACUAUAGCUUCUCUUCAAUAUAAAACAUACUUUUGAAGUAUCUCAUUUUAA
Molecule: long non-coding RNA, 1533 nt
Organism: Capsella rubella
Lineage: Eukaryota; Viridiplantae; Streptophyta; Magnoliopsida; Brassicales; Brassicaceae
Exons: 5
Source: RefSeq, a predicted model, not a curated record